RNAcentral lists this unclassified non-coding RNA (356 nucleotides) under soil metagenome. RNAcentral describes it as "partial contains 5.8S ribosomal RNA, internal transcribed spacer 2, and large subunit ribosomal RNA". The stretch from base 1 to 120 matches the Rfam family "5.8S ribosomal RNA", at positions 35 to 154 of the family's 154-position model. The record is from RNAcentral.
GAUGAAGAACGUAGCGAAAUGCGAUAAGUAAUGUGAAUUGCAGAAUUCAGUGAAUCAUCGAAUCUUUGAACGCACAUUGCGCCCGUCAGUAUUCUGGCGGGCAUGCCUGUUCGAGCGUCAUUACGCCCCUCAAGUCCCCUGUGGACUUGGUGUUGGGGAUCGGCGAGGCUGGUUUUCCAGCACAGCCGUCCCUUAAAUUAAUUGGCGGUCUCCGUGGCCCUCCUCUGCGCAGUAGUAAAACACUCGCAACAGGAGCCCGGCGCGGUCCACUGCCGUAAAACCCCCCAACUUUUUAUAGUUGACCUCGAAUCAGGUAGGACUACCCGCUGAACUUAAGCAUAUCAAUAAGCGGAGGA